UGGGGAAUCUUGGACAAUGGGGGCAACCCUGAUCCAGCGACGCCGCGUGGGUGAUGAAGGCCUUCGGGUUGUAAAGCCCUUUCACCGGGGACGAUGAUGACGGUACCCGGAGAAGAAGCACCGGGUAACUCCGUGCCAGCAGCCGCGGUAAGACCGAGGGACCUAGCGUUGUUCGGAAUCACUGGGCGUAAAGGGCGCGUAGGCGGCGCUGGCAGUCGGCUCGUGAAAGCCCGGGGCUCAACCCCGGAGGUGCGGCCGAUACUCCAGUGCUGGAGGCCGGAAGAGGAGGGUGGAAUACCCAGUGUAGAGGUGAAAUUCGUAGAUAUUGGGUGGAACACCGGUGGCGAAAGCGGCUCUCUGGUCCGGUCCUGACGCUGAGGCGCGAAAGCGUGGGGAGCAAACAGGAUUAGAUACCCCUGUAGUCC
This 425-nucleotide ribosomal RNA is filed under the name uncultured prokaryote. Its description in RNAcentral is "bacterial SSU rRNA". It matches the Rfam family "Bacterial small subunit ribosomal RNA", at positions 355 to 796 of the family's 1533-position model. The record is from RNAcentral.